UGAGCAAUCUGCCCUUCUCAUCGGAAUAAGCGUUGGAAACGACGUCUAAUGCCGAAUACGACCUCCUUUCGCAUGAUCGGAGGUGGAAAGCUCCGGCGGAGAAGGAUGAGCUCGCGGCCUAUCAGCUAGUUGGUGUGGGUAAUGGCCCACCAAGGCGACGACGGGUAGCCGGCCUGAGAGGGUGACCCGGCCACACGUGGGGCUGAGACACGGCCCAGACCUCCGUACGGGAGCA
This 235-nucleotide ribosomal RNA is filed under the name uncultured bacterium. RNAcentral's name for it is "partial 16S ribosomal RNA". It matches the Rfam family "Bacterial small subunit ribosomal RNA", at positions 118 to 347 of the family's 1533-position model. The record is from RNAcentral.